Mustela erminea (ermine) is the source of this 3330-nucleotide long non-coding RNA. RefSeq lists it as uncharacterized. NCBI's taxonomy places the organism in Eukaryota, Metazoa, Chordata, Mammalia, Carnivora, Mustelidae. The record is from RefSeq and is a predicted model, not a curated record. The transcript is spliced from 3 exons.
AUCCCAGGACCCUGGGAUCAUGACCUGAGCCGAAGGCAGAGGCUUUAACCCACUGAGCCACCCAGGCACCCCAAUGCCCUAGUUUUCAAAACCAGUACACACAAGUGAACACGGCCUGGACACCAGACGCAGGGAUCAACUAGGACGUUGCCACACAGUCCUGGCCUUCAGUCCUGAGGGCCUGGGCCAGGGCACGAGCCUCGGAGACAGAUUAAAUUAAAAGGUUGUAGCGAAGAGAGAAGGUAAAAGAUCCGGGCUUCAGGACUAGAAGUAAAAUAACGUUCAAACCGCACCCAGCUCCAGAUCUAGCGAGUCCCUACGUCCCGCGAACCGCGAAACGCUGUUCUGGGAGCCCCAGGGUCCCAGCUCCGCGAAGGGUAGGGCUAACUCGUGGGGCGGGUAAGAUUAAGGUGGGGGAAGGGUGGAGAACUGUCGGGACUAUAUUUCCCACCAUGCUGUGGACGGGGCAGUUUUACGCAUGCGCAGAGGCCGUGGCAAGCCUGCGAUGUGCCUGACGGGGGCGCUCCGGCUUUGGUCCGGAGAUGGGCAGAGUGGAUGUAAGGGGGAGUGUUAAGUCCUGCGAUGGUGGUGUUUGAGGUCUCGGCUGCAGUUUUCGGCUCGUCCCAGUGGGUUGGCGGGACCCCAAGCCCCUUCUCUUACAGAGCCUGUCUUUCACGUCCCCCAGGCCGCGGAACUGAGCGGUCUGCAGACUAGCAAUCCUCAGAACCCCACAUCCCGCUGCCAGUGGUUCCCCGCAUCCGGUGCCGGCCCCCAAAGCCGCCUUCCCUCCCACACAGCCUCAGCUGCCUGUUGCUACCGCGACCGGCGCCUCUGCUGGGGGAGGCCCAAGUUGAGGUCCACGGAGGCGGAUCUGACGUUUGGAUUAUUCUCUCUGUGUGUGUAGAGGGUCUGCCUUAUUGGGACCACCAGGUAAGGCUCAGGAGCACAGUUCCCUACUCUGGUUUUCUCUGGGACUGUGAGUGGGAAGGAGAGAUGUUUGGAAGUAGAAGCCUGGCUUCCACUAUCUUCUGGCCCUGAAACCUCAGAAAGGUCUAUUAAGCCAGACUUACCUCUACAGAAGCCGGAGGGUGAAGUGGUGUAGACUUGAGGUUGUGGCUGGUGGCAGCACAGUCAUAGAGGCCACGGGGAGAGUGGGUCAGGAGCUGGGGAGCUUGCAACACCAGGUGAUGGGAGUGGGGUGGCUCUGAGUGCAAAUUCUAACAAUGAUCUAGCAGCAAGUACAGCUUGAGCUGGGCUCCAGCCUCCACCACUAGCACUCACCCUGGCAGUGUUGAUGCCACUGAUGCUCUUGGUCCAGCAAGGCGCCCCCAGAAGUGCUCUGUACAGAGAGCAAAGCUCACAACCCUACCAUGUAGCGCCUGUUGCAGGUCUGAAGCCUCUAGAUAAAAAUCUAAACACUUUCUGAGAAGUUUUAUUUGAAAACUUGGGGACAUAACAGAGACAGCAGGAUGUGGGCUGGUAUUCUCCAGCCAGGGUUCUCAGAUAAGAAGCCAGGCUUGGGUUCCUCAGGUCGCUAGGUUCCAGGAUCCCUCCAGACUAUGGGGUCCCAAGGAGAAUACCCACCCUUCUCCUCUCAGGCGGUUACCCCCUCCACCACUGCCCAUUUCCGGUAUCUGAGGGGACACCGAACUAUAGACUUUAAGGGAGCCGGAACAGAGAGGAUCUGGUUAAAAUCCACAAGGAUGGGAAGUAAGUAACUCGGGAGCUUGGGGCCUUAGGGGAAUAGAUGGUUUCCUCCAUCCCCAAGAAACCAGGGACCUACUCGUUCCCCUGAAGUGUCUCCCUCACUUAGAGGGGAAGUUUAGGAAGCAUUACCUCCUGUGACCAGACAUUUCCUACCUGUCUUUGGGGGGUGGUUGGGAAACAGUCAUGGUGGGGCAGGGUAGCAGUAACCCCUGCAGCAGAGGAGGCUGGGGUGAUGAUCGUCCCACUCUGCCAGCUCCUCCGUCUCAGCUGGGUGCAGGCUGGCUGUUGGCAUAUGCCUGGUCUGGGAAGGAAGCCCGCGCCCUGCGGGUCUGGGCACACACUGAGGCGUACAGCUCCGGCUCAGGGCCUGAGGCCUGGGGCUUUGGCUCAGAAUCCAGCACCACCUCUGAGUACUUGAUGGGGGUUCCGGGGCUGGGGAGAUGGCCCUGAGAAGGCCGCAACUGCAGGCUGGUAUAGCACAUCACUUUCUCUGUAGCCUGGAAAUGCAAGGCUGUUAGAAGUUCACUGGACCCUUGGAAAAGCCCUCACUUCCUUCCCUCCCCCCUUCCUCAGCCACAACUGACUCACCGUGACAGGGUCUCUAGGAGCUGGAUCUUGCUGGUCUGACCCCUGUUCUUGAGACAGUCGACCUGGGAUAGGGAACAGUAGUAAUCUGGUCACUUCUUGUUCUUCCUCCUGCCAUCCCUCAUCCCACCCACCCAGGACGUGCAUGGCCUUGGUGCCCCUCCCCUUUGCCAGCUCCCUACCAGUCUGAAGAUAAGGCAGGUUCCCAUAUAGGGGGACCUCUUCCACAGAUCCUCCAGAGCUGCAAGACAGAGAUGAGGGGAUGAGGGGACAUCUGGGUAAGGGGGAAAUCUCAGUCACCUAUCUCUGUUGUCCCUACUCACCGUCCCUGUCCCGGAUGGCUUCUGUUCCGGCCACUAGUCCAUCGGAACAAGUGUGCAGCCAGUGAGAUGAGAAGCAGCAGCGUCACAGCCCCUAAGAGGGCCCACAAUCCCCAGGCCUGAGUCACAGUGGGGAUUCCUGUGGACGCCAGGGUAUGGGGGCUGUUACUGCCCAGCCCAGCCCAGCCCUCCAGGUCCCAGCAGGUGGGACAAGGGGCCAUGUGACCCCUCCCCCUCCCCCUGCCCCGCCCAGCUCACCGGGCACUAGCAGUUCUGUGACUUCUGUGCGGUUGGCACCUCUGCUCAUGACUGCUGACCUGGGAGCUGAGUCUGCAAACCCUGUGCUGAGGGGUCAGCUUGGCUUAUGGCCUGAUUGCUGCUGCAGGCCCCUUUACUCUCGGCCCUCCCCAGGCUUGGCCCCCACAGUUCAUCCCCAAUACUGCUGGUGGCAGAGUCACUGGUUUCCGGGGAGGAAGGGGGAGGGGAGGGAUCAGCGAAAGAACAAAGACACCGCCCUGUGCCUGCACCUGCGCCACCCAGCAUCUCCCAAGCUUCCGCCCCCACCCCUCGAGGCCCUAUACCUUCUUUGGCCAGAGAAGAGAAGCAGGCCUGCGAUUUCUGUGCCACUGUGCAGGAAGUGGAGCACAUGUGAUGCUCAAUACUACCCAACCACAUGGGCUGCUACUGAUGCAGAAGAAGGAUUUCAGGUUCCUUAGGC